This 253-nucleotide ribosomal RNA is filed under the name uncultured bacterium. RNAcentral's name for it is "partial 16S ribosomal RNA". It matches the Rfam family "Archaeal small subunit ribosomal RNA", at positions 474 to 727 of the family's 1478-position model. The record is from RNAcentral.
UACCAGCACCCCGAGUGGUCGGGACGAUUAUUGGGCCUAAAGCAUCCGUAGCCGGUUCUACAAGUCUUCCGUUAAAUCCACCUGCUUAACAGAUGGGCUGCGGAGGAUACUAUAGAGCUAGGAGGCGGGAGAGGCAAGCGGUACUUAGUGGGUAGGGGUAAAAUCCGUUGAUCCAUUGAAGACCACCAGUGGCGAAGGCGGCUUGCCAGAACACACUCGACGGUGAGGGAUGAAAGCUGGGGGAGCAAACCGG